GUUUUGCUAAAUUACUUAGGCUGACCUGGAACUUGUGGUCCUCCUGCCUCAGCCUCCCAAACUGCUGGGUUUACAAGCAUGCACCACUGCACCCAGGUGACCCUAUGGCUUCUUUACCCUUGUUUAAGAGUGCUUCAGAAUCCAAAUCAAGCUUGCUUAGACUGAUGAAUUCACAUUGACUUUUGGGUAAGAAUCUAAUCAGAACAGUAGAUUAUAGCUUCCUGUGUGUUUCUGCCUGAUCAAUAAACAGUUUUCACUUUCUCCCAACAGGAUUAUAGAGUAUGAGUAUGACCCCUUUUCCUAGCACUGUAUUUGUGUUCUUGCUGAUUUUCUAGACUUAACUCUGCCUGCCUACAUACAUCCAUAGAAUUCAGAUGCUUUGACUUGCAUUUUGAAACCAUCUGGUUUCUUGACUCUGCUUUGGUUUAAAGACACAAAUGUAUUAACUGAAGCUCCAACUUUAACCCUGUUUGUAUGUAAACCCUUGAGUUGAUUUCACAUCGUGGCCUCUGUCGCUCUUCAUACUUAAUUCUUGUGAAAUCAGGCAUGAUCUAGCUAGCUAUUAGUAAAAUAUUUGGAUGGUAAUUUUUUAUCUUUUUUUUUAAACUAAGUUCUAUAGCUUUCUAAAACUAAGUGCUCACUGUUGGAUAGCACUCGGUAACCUAAUUUUUAGAAAAUUAGAAGCCUAAGGUUUUGUUAAAAUAGAAAAAGAUUUUGACAUCAAGACAACUCAUGGCACUGUGUCUACACUUAAUUUGCUUUAGAUAGAUAAUUGCAUAAUAGAAUUUAUCCCAAGACUUGUCAAAGGAGGUAGAAGAAUGGCUGAUGAGAUCAUCUCAUAAUUUUGUCCUCAAUCUAAACCUGCAUAAAUAUUAGACAUAGAGAGGCCUAAAGUAGUUGAGAACUCCUUUAUUUAGCUAAGAUUGCUUUUUAUCUUGUUUCAUGUCCUAUCUUAUAAUUUUUAAAUGAAAUUAUGCUCCUUAAAUUUUCAUAAUUUUCCAUUUGUGUAU
Molecule: long non-coding RNA, 1010 nt
Filed under: Marmota monax (woodchuck)
Lineage: Eukaryota; Metazoa; Chordata; Mammalia; Rodentia; Sciuridae
Source: RNAcentral